GCAUUCCUCUUUGACGUAACCCACCUGCUGGUACAAGCCAAUGCGGGAUGGGCGGUCAUUUAAAGAGAAGCGUGAAUGCUAAACAAGGGCAGAAGAAGGGCCCCAUGAGACCCCAUGCCCACAUCAGGUUCCGUAUCCAAGAUAACAAGCAAUGCUCAAUGGGCCACAAGAUCAAUGCAAGCACUAACAAUGUGGUUCAAAGAGACAGCUUCAAGGUCCAUCUCAUGCCAAGUGGAUGACAAAAGACAAAGGCUACUUCAUUCGAUCAAGACAAUACCAUGCCUUAGGUAGGAAACACAGGAAACCCACAAUCUACAUAGGUGAUUAAAACACCUAGGCAAGCAACUGAAGAGGUAAGUAGGGUGGCAGUUGUUGCGCAAGCAAA
RNAcentral lists this unclassified non-coding RNA (385 nucleotides) under Vigethia mexicana. Its description in RNAcentral is "partial external transcribed spacer". The record is from RNAcentral. Lineage: Eukaryota; Viridiplantae; Streptophyta; Magnoliopsida; Asterales; Asteraceae.